Polistes canadensis is the source of this 874-nucleotide long non-coding RNA. RefSeq lists it as uncharacterized. The record is from RefSeq and is a predicted model, not a curated record. The transcript has 3 exons. Lineage: Eukaryota; Metazoa; Arthropoda; Insecta; Hymenoptera; Vespidae.
GGCCGCUCCUGGUAAUCACUUGCGCGCCAAAACUUCACGAACUGGGUCUUCUUCUUCCUUUUCGAAGAUGGCCUCGGUUGUCUGUUCAGAUGAGACACAUCGACAGACCCCCUUCCGACACGAAGGACCAGGGGCCUUAUCGAUGAAAAAUUCUUCGGAGCCCUUGCGCCUGCGCCAUUCGCGUUACGUAAUCUAACCAAGAAAACUAGAAGGAGAUCAAAGUUACUACAGUUAUAAUAUACUUGUAUACGAACAAUUUUUAUAUAUAUAUAUAUACACUUACAUAGUUACAUAUACACAUUUAAGAUUCCCCCUUUAAAACUUAAACUUGUUCUUUGUCUCUGCGCACAAGUGUUACUAGUAUUGCAACUCUACUCUACGUGCCAAUGUAAUUUUAAACUUUAAUAGGUUUUACAAAUUGAUAAAAAUAAAAUUAAAUAAAAUAAAAAAAUUUCUAGAAAACCUUUACUCUUCACUGUUCAAAACGGAAAGACAUUACCGAUGCUUCUCGUUUCUAAGCCGAAACUAAGCGGUUGUUCUCUUCGGGUUUUUUCGUUGAACGGAGGGCUGUCUAAACAGUAGCGUAUUGGAGCCCUUUGAAAUAGGGAUCAUCAUCGAUAAAAUGCUCAUAACUUUAAAUUUUAUCAAUGUUUAUGUUUCAAUCUUUCUGACAAUCUAAAGGCCAUAACAAAUAUACGUACAUCUAUGCAUAUAAUUUGACACUUUAAAAGGUUUAUGUUCACGAAAACAAAAAUUAUUACUAUUUUUUAUUCUUGUUAUAAUACUUGUACAAUAAAAUAGGAUCGAUCCUGUAUUACAAACAGUCAUUUGCAUGCAACAAAGGAAAAUAACAAAAAAAUAAAAUAAAAUAAAA